GUAGGGUCCGAGCGUUAUCCGGAUUUACUGGGUAUAAAGGGCGAGUAGACGGUUUAGCAAGUCAGAUGUGAAAACUUGGAGCUCAACUCCAAGCCCGCAUCUGAAACUGUUAGACUAGAGUGCAGGAGAGGUAAGCGGAAUUCCUAGUGUAGCGGUGAAAUGCGUAGAUAUUAGGAGGAACACCAGUGGCGAAGGCGGCUUACUGGACUGUAACUGACGUUGAGGAGCGAAAGUGUGGGGAGCAAACAGGAUUAGAUACCCUGGUAGUCCACACUGUAAACGAUGGAUACUAGGUGUAGGCAUGCGAAUGUCUGUGCCGGCGCAAAUGCAAUAAGUAUCCCACCUGGGGAGU
RNAcentral lists this ribosomal RNA (352 nucleotides) under uncultured bacterium. RNAcentral describes it as "bacterial SSU rRNA". It matches the Rfam family "Bacterial small subunit ribosomal RNA", at positions 527 to 881 of the family's 1533-position model. The record is from RNAcentral.